GAUGAACGCUGGCGGCGUGCCUAACACAUGCAAGUCGAGCGAACCCUUCGGGGUGAGCGGCGGACGGGUGAGUAACGCGUGGGUAACCUGCCCUAUACACACGGAUAACGUACCGAAAGGUACGCUAAUACGGGAUAAAGUUGUUGGAUGGCAUCUUCUAACAAUCAAAGCUCUGGCGGUAUAGGAUGGACCCGCGUCUGAUUAGCUAGUUGGUGAGGUAAUGGCUCACCAAGGCGACGAUCAGUAGCCGACCUGAGAGGGUGAUCGGCCACACUGGAACUGAGACACGGUCCAGACGCCUACGGGAGGCAGCAGUGGGGAAUAUUGCACAAUGGGCGAAAGCCUGAUGCAGCAACGCCGCGUGAGCGAUGAAGGUCUUCGGAUCGUAAAGCUCUGUCCUCAAGGAAGAUAAUGACGGUACUUGAGGAGGAAGCCCCGGCUAACUACGUGCCAGCAGCCGCCGCGG
This 466-nucleotide ribosomal RNA is filed under the name uncultured bacterium. RNAcentral describes it as "partial 16S ribosomal RNA". It matches the Rfam family "Bacterial small subunit ribosomal RNA", at positions 28 to 523 of the family's 1533-position model. The record is from RNAcentral.